RNAcentral lists this ribosomal RNA (472 nucleotides) under uncultured bacterium. RNAcentral's name for it is "partial 16S ribosomal RNA". It matches the Rfam family "Bacterial small subunit ribosomal RNA", at positions 30 to 507 of the family's 1533-position model. The record is from RNAcentral.
AGUGAACGCUGGCGGUAGGCCUAACACAUGCAAGUCGAACGGCAGCACAGUAAGAGCUUGCUCUUACGGGUGGCGAGUGGCGGACGGGUGAGGAAUACAUCGGAAUCUACUUUUUCGUGGGGGAUAACGUAGGGAAACUUACGCUAAUACCGCAUACGACCUACGGGUGAAAGCAGGGGAUCUUCGGACCUUGCGCGAUUGAAUGAGCCGGUGGCGGAUUAGCUAGUUGGCGGGGUAGAGGCCCACCAAGGCGACGAUCCGUAGCUGGUCUGAGAGGGUGGGCGACUACCUGGGGACUGCGGUACGGCCCAGACGGCGACGGGGAGCAGGAGUGGGGAAUAUGAAACCAUGGGCGGGAGCAUAAUAAAGCAACGCUUCGUGCGGGAUGACGGCCUUCGGGAAGUAAACAGCUGUCGCCUGUGACGGAGCGGGAGUGACGGGAAGGGAUAAAGAAGCACCGGCUAACUUCGUG